This is a long non-coding RNA of Mytilus trossulus (common blue mussel), 1991 nucleotides long. RefSeq lists it as uncharacterized. NCBI's taxonomy places the organism in Eukaryota, Metazoa, Mollusca, Bivalvia, Mytilida, Mytilidae. The record is from RefSeq and is a predicted model, not a curated record. The transcript has 6 exons.
AGUUCCAGACAUAUCAUUACUUUUAAAUAUGAGAUGACAAACUAAAGGUUUUAAAAAGUCCUGAAUAACUGAAAUGGACAAAAAUACACAGAUUUAUUCAGAAUGUCAUACCGAUGAAGAUCAUCUAAAAAUAUUUGGAAAAAUCAGAACUAUGGAUUUCAAUAUGGGACAAUACCCCUAAUGCGCCUUGAAAUGAGGAACACAAAAGUCACGUGUACACAAAAAAUCUCUGUGUAGUGAUAUUUGACACAUUUCUAUGAUAAACAAAUAACUGAGCUGAACCAUUAGUGUUAAUUUAGAAAAUAAGGGAACACAGAAUAAAUGUGUAAUAACCAUGGAGCUAUGAAAUGUGUUCAAAGUAUUAAAAUUUCAAAGAACUUAUUGUGUUAAAAUUGGGAUUUUUUACCAUGAGGAGCGACAUCGCAAAAGGAUACUCGGGGUUUGCUAAAUUACGGAAAAAUGAAUCACACUUCGUACCCCGAAAAUUUAACCACAUAUGUAAAAAUGUCUCAGCUUCGAAACAAGCCAUCAUACAUAUACAAGUUUACGAUAUGGGCUGAGCAACAGAAGAAAACGUUACCAUUACGGCCUAUGGAAUAACAAUUGCGCAUAUUGCCCCAUCUUGUGAGCUAGGAUCCAGAGAUGUCUUAAGCUAAUUUCACCUUGUACACCACAGAAAAUUGUUAAAAUGAUGUUCCAGACAUAUCAUUACUUUUAAAUAUGAGAUGACAAACUAAAGGUUUUAAAAAGUCCUGAAUAACUGAAAUGGACAAAAAUACACAGAUUUAUUCAGAAUGUCAUACCGAUGAAGAUCAUCUAAAAAUAUUUGGAAAAAUCAGAACUAUGGAUUUCAAUAUGGGACAAUACCCCUAAUGCGCCUUGAAAUGAGGAACACAAAAGUCACGUGUACACAAAAAAUCUCUGUGUAGUGAUAUUUGACACAUUUCUAUGAUAAACAAAUAACUGAGCUGAACCAUUAGUGUUAAUUUAGAAAAUAAGGGAACACAGAAUAAAUGUGUAAUAACCAUGGAGCUAUGAAAUGUGUUCAAAGUAUUAAAAUUUCAAAGAACUUAUUGUGUUAAAAUUGGGAUUUUUUACCAUGAGGAGCGACAUCGCAAAAGGAUACUCGGGGUUUGCUAAAUUACGGAAAAAUGAAUCACACUUCGUACCCCGAAAAUUUAACCACAUAUGUAAAAAUGUCUCAGCUUCGAAACAAGCCAUCAUACAUAUACAAGUUUACGAUAUGGGCUGAGCAACAGAAGAAAACGUUACCAUUACGGCCUAUGGAAUAACAAUUGCGCAUAUUGCCCCAUCUUGUGAGCUAGGAUCCAGAGAUGUCUUAAGCUAAUUUCACCUUGUACACCACAGAAAAUUGUUAAAAUGAUGUUCCAGACAUAUCAUUACUUUUAAAUAUGAGAUGACAAACUAAAGGUUUUAAAAAGUCCUGAAUAACUGAAAUGGACAAAAAUACACAGAUUUAUUCAGAAUGUCAUACCGAUGAAGAUCAUCUAAAAAUAUUUGGAAAAAUCAGAACUAUGGAUUUCAAUAUGGGACAAUACCCCUAAUGCGCCUUGAAAUGAGGAACACAAAAGUCACGUGUACACAAAAAAUCUCUGUGUAGUGAUAUUUGACACAUUUCUAUGAUAAACAAAUAACUGAGCUGAACCAUUAGUGUUAAUUUAGAAAAUAAGGGAACACAGAAUAAAUGUGUAAUAACCAUGGAGCUAUGAAAUGUGUUCAAAGUAUUAAAAUUUCAAAGAACUUAUUGUGUUAAAAUUGGGAUUUUUUACCAUGAGGAGCGACAUCGCAAAAGGAUACUCGGGGUUUGCUAAAUUACGGAAAAAUGAAUCACACUUCGUACCCCGAAAAUUUAACCACAUAUGUAAAAAUGUCUCAGCUUCGAAACAAGCCAUCAUACAUAUACAAGUUUACGAUAUGGGCUGAGCAACAGAAGAAAACGUUACCAUUACGGCCUAUGGAAUAACAAUUGC